RNAcentral lists this ribosomal RNA (906 nucleotides) under Amanita fulva. Its description in RNAcentral is "eukaryotic LSU rRNA". It matches the Rfam family "Eukaryotic large subunit ribosomal RNA", at positions 65 to 937 of the family's 3401-position model. Lineage: Eukaryota; Fungi; Basidiomycota; Agaricomycetes; Agaricales; Amanitaceae. The record is from RNAcentral.
CUAACAAGGAUUCCCCUAGUAACUGCGAGUGAAGCGGGAAAAGCUCAAAUUUGAAAUCUGGCAGUCUAUUUUUUCUUCUUUGGCUGUCCGAGUUGUAAUCUAGAGAAGUGCUUACCUGCACUGGACCAUGUAUAAGUCUCCUGGAAUGGAGCGUCGCAGAGGGUGAGAAUCCCGUCUUUGACAUGGACUGCCAGUGUGUUGUGGUGUGCUCUCAAAGAGUCGAGUUGUUUGGGAAUGCAGCUCUAAAUGGGUGGUAAACUCCAUCUAAAGCUAAAUAUUGGCGAGAGACCGAUAGCGAACAAGUACCGUGAGGGAAAGAUGAAAAGGACUUUGGAAAGAGAGUUAAACAGUAUGUGAAAUUGUUGAAAGGGAAACGCUUGAAGUCAGUUAUGUUGGCUAGGGAUCAACCUAGCUGUCUUUUGCUGGGUGAAUUUCCUAGUCUGACAGGCCAACAUCAGUCUUGACCGCUGGAAAAGAGCAGAGGGAAUGUGGCACCUUCGGGUGUGUUAUAGCCCUUUGUCAUAUGUGGCGGUUGGGACUGAGGGAUGCAGCGUGCCGCGAGGCUGGGUUUCGACCACGUUCACGCUUAGGAUGUUGGCUUUUAAUGGCUUCAAUCGACCCGUCUUGAAACACGGACCAAGGAGUCUAACAUGCCUGCAAGUGUUUGGGUGGAAAACCCUUGCGCACAAUGAAAGUGAAAGUUGAGAUCCCUGUCAUGGGGAGCAUCGACGCCCGGACUUGAGCUUUUAGCGACGGAUCCGCGGUAGAGCAUGCAUGUUGGGACCCGAAAGAUGGUGAACUAUGCCUGAAUAGGGCAAAGCCAGAGGAAACUCUGGUGGAGGCUCGUAGCGAUUCUGACGUGCAAAUCGAUCGUCAAAUUUGGGUAUAGGGGCGAAAGACUAAUCG